Molecule: long non-coding RNA, 894 nt
Organism: Poecilia latipinna (sailfin molly)
Lineage: Eukaryota; Metazoa; Chordata; Actinopteri; Cyprinodontiformes; Poeciliidae
Exons: 2
Source: RefSeq, a predicted model, not a curated record
UGUAAAAAUUCUAGAGAUUUUUCUAGCAAAUUUUUGAACAUUUUUCUGGAAACUGGCUCCUUUUAUAAAACCACUUCACAGCAGGCUGACACGCCGCCAUGCUCCAGUCAUUUCUAUCUUUUAUGAAUCUGCCGAAGUUGGUUCCCUCUGUUCCAGAAUCGGACCACCGUCACAACAACCUGCACGUCAUUUUAAUCUUCCCUCUCAAAGGUACAUCCUGAAAUCACGAGAAAUGAAACAAGAGACAGGAAAGACGGAUGGAUUGAUGCUGCGAGAGAGAGAGUGAUCGAAUCACGCGGCGCUGCAGGAAGUCUUCCUCCCGUCAAUCUGAACCCACUCAGCUUCCUGCGCAGCAAACCCGAUUAGCUGCCUCUGCUCCGACGCUGGUGCGACUUUAAAGGGGGAUGUGGGGAUAAUAUGCAUUAUUACUUUUAUCCAGUAAGUGAGGCGGGCCAAUAAUUGGGCAACGCUGGAGUUUUAUUGUUCCCAGCUGCUGAGGUCAUUACUAAACGUCAAAGAGAUGCAACAUUUCCUGUCGCUCUAACGACAGUAAUCACUUCCCUCUCUCCCCUGAAUACUCCGCCGCGCAUCCUGGCCAUGGAAGGUACAGAGAUGAGACUUCUUCAUCAUCUUUAUUGGAUUCGUCCUGCAAACCGAAUCAUGGCAGGUGAACGCCCUGCAGACAACAAACCAGCAGAGGAGCUCUGUUUUUAGAGGCUGGCAGACUUCACAGGUGUCACAGCUCAGGUGAGAAGAAGAUCUGAGGGACGAAGGGCUGCAAGCUGGCAGCGCGACUUCAUCUGGGAGUUACGUGUUCUUAAACGAGAUCCAAAUAUAGAUCCAGUUUGGGUGGAAGGAAGGGGUUUGUUGUUUCUCCAAUAAAUCUUUGAAAGG